Molecule: ribosomal RNA, 253 nt
Filed under: uncultured bacterium
Lineage: Bacteria
Description: partial 16S ribosomal RNA
Rfam family: Bacterial small subunit ribosomal RNA
Source: RNAcentral
UACGGAGGGGGCUAGCGUUGUUCGGAAUUACUGGGCGUAAAGCGCACGUAGGCGGCUUUGUAAGUUAGAGGUGAAAGCCUGGAGCUCAACUUCAGAAUUGCCUUUAAGACUGCAUCGCUUGAAUCCGGGAGAGGUGAGUGGAAUUCCGAGUGUAGAGGUGAAAUUCGUAGAUAUUCGGAAGAACACCAGUGGCGAAGGCGGCUCACUGGACCGGCAUUGACGCUGAGGUGCGAAAGCGUGGGGAGCAAACAGG